CUCUCAGACAAAUGCCUC
RNAcentral lists this small nuclear RNA (18 nucleotides) under Arabidopsis thaliana (thale cress). RNAcentral's name for it is "snRNA_06427". Lineage: Eukaryota; Viridiplantae; Streptophyta; Magnoliopsida; Brassicales; Brassicaceae. The record is from RNAcentral.